AUUGAACGCUAACGGCGUGCUUAACACAUGCAAGUCGAGCGGCAGCAUGAUUGUAGCAAUACAAUUGAUGGCGAGCGGCGGACGGGUGAGUAAUAUAUAGGAAUCUGCCUUGUAGUGGGGGAUAACCCGGGGAAACUCGGGCUAAUACCGCAUAAUCUCUACGGAGCAAAGUGGGGGAUCGUAAGACCUCACGCUAAAAGAUGAGCCUAUAUUGGAUUAGCUAGUUGGUAGGGUAAAGGCCUACCAAGGCAACGAUCCAUAGCUGGUCUGAGAGGAUGAUCAGCCACACUGGGACUGAGACACGGCCCAGACUCCUACGGGAGGCAGCAGUGGGGAAUUUUGGACAAUGGGCGCAAGCCUGAUCCAGCAAUGCCGCGUGCAGGAUGAAGGCCUUCGGGUUGUAAACUGCUUUUGUACGGAACGAAACGGCGAGCUCUAAUACAGUUCGCUAAUGACGGUACCGUAAGAAUAAGCACCGGCUAACUACGUGCCAGCAGCCGCCGUAA
Molecule: ribosomal RNA, 506 nt
Filed under: uncultured bacterium
Lineage: Bacteria
Description: partial 16S ribosomal RNA
Rfam family: Bacterial small subunit ribosomal RNA
Source: RNAcentral